GGUUUUGGUAAAGCGAAGCUGCAGAACCGCUGCUGCACCGCUGUGCUUUGCCCUCAGAGUUGGGCUCGCCUUCCCUCCCCGCUGUUGUUGUUGCUGGGGUAGCUGGUAGGCGUUGGGAUUCCAGCCAACCACCCCCAUGGCCGCCAUCCAUCAAGUCUGAGGCUCUGCCUGAUGUUUUCC
Long non-coding RNA from Lagopus leucura (white-tailed ptarmigan), 180 nucleotides. RefSeq lists it as uncharacterized. The record is from RefSeq and is a predicted model, not a curated record. The transcript has 2 exons. Lineage: Eukaryota; Metazoa; Chordata; Aves; Galliformes; Phasianidae.